UAGAUACCCUGGUAGUCCACGCCGUAAACGAUGUCGACUUGGAGGUUGUGCCCUUGAGGCGUGGCUUCCGGAGCUAACGCGUUAAGUCGACCGCCUGGGGAGUACGGCCGCAAGGUUAAAACUCAAAUGAAUUGACGGGGGCCCGCACAAGCGGUGGAGCAUGUGGUUUAAUUCGAUGCAACGCGAAGAACCUUACCUACUCUUGACAUCCAGAGAACUUAGCAGAGAUGCUUUGGUGCCUUCGGGAACUCUGAGACAGGUGCUGCAUGGCUGUCGUCAGCUCGUGUUGUGAAAUGUUGGGUUAAGUCCCGCAACGAGCGCAACCCUUAUCCUUUGUUGCCAGCGAUUCGGUCGGGAACUCAAAGGAGACUGCCAGUGAUAAACUGGAGGAAGGUGGGGAUGACGUCAAGUCAUCAUGGCCCUUACGAGUAGGGCUACACACGUGCUACAAUGGCAUAUACAAAGAGAAGCGACCUCGCGAGAGCAAGCGGACCUCAUAAAGUAUGUCGUAGUCCGGAUUGGAGUCUGCAACUCGACUCCAUGAAGUCGGAAUCGCUAGUAAUCGUAGAUCAGAAUGCUACGGUGAAUACGUUCCCGGGCCUUGUACACACCGCCCGUCACACCAUGGGAGUGGUUGCAAAAGAAGUAGGUAGCUUAACCUUCGGGAGGGCGCUUACCACUUUGUGAUUCAUGACUGGGGUGAGCGCCCAAGGGGGAAAACACAAAA
This 727-nucleotide ribosomal RNA is filed under the name Kluyvera sp. BAB-3778. RNAcentral describes it as "bacterial SSU rRNA". It matches the Rfam family "Bacterial small subunit ribosomal RNA", at positions 779 to 1533 of the family's 1533-position model. The record is from RNAcentral. Lineage: Bacteria; Pseudomonadati; Pseudomonadota; Gammaproteobacteria; Enterobacterales; Enterobacteriaceae.